AGAGUUUGAUCCUGGCUCAGGACGAACGCUGGCGGCGUGCCUAACACAUGCAAGUCGAACGGAGUUCUUGUGGAAGUACCUUCGGGUGCGGAAGCUUGGACUUAGUGGCGAACGGGUGAGUAACGCGUGAGCAACCUGCCUUUUCAGAGGGGGACAACGGUUGGAAACGACCGCUAAUACCGCAUAACGCAUUUUGACCGCAUGAUCGAGAUGCCAAAGAUUCUAUCGCUGAAAGAUGGGCUCGCGUCUGAUUAGAUAGUUGGUGGGGUAACGGCCUACCAAGUCGACGAUCAGUAGCCGGACUGAGAGGUUGAACGGCCACAUUUGGGACUGAGAUACGGCCCAGACUCCUACGGGAGGCAGCAGUGGGGAUAUUGCGCAAUGGGGAAACCCUGACGCAGCAACGCCGCGUGGAGGAUGACGGUUUCGGAUUGUAAACUCCUUUAUAAGGGACGAACUAAGACGGUACCUUAUGAAUAAGCUCCGGCUAACUACGUGCC
This 500-nucleotide ribosomal RNA is filed under the name uncultured bacterium. RNAcentral describes it as "bacterial SSU rRNA". It matches the Rfam family "Bacterial small subunit ribosomal RNA", at positions 8 to 509 of the family's 1533-position model. The record is from RNAcentral.